GAGACAUAUUUUUUCAUCCACAUAUAGCGCUUCGCAGAGCAUCAUCUUAAACUAUGCGCCGCAAUGUGUGCGAAUAAAUGGCAAAAGGCAACCUGAGGCUGCCUUUUUCUUU
Molecule: unclassified non-coding RNA, 112 nt
Filed under: Klebsiella quasipneumoniae
Lineage: Bacteria; Pseudomonadati; Pseudomonadota; Gammaproteobacteria; Enterobacterales; Enterobacteriaceae
Description: SraB
Source: RNAcentral